GAUGAACGCUGGCGGCGUGCCUAAUACAUGCAAGUCGAGCGAACAGACGAGGAGCUUGCUCCUUCGACGUUAGCGGCGGACGGGUGAGUAACACGUAGGUAACCUACCUAUAAGACUGGGAUAACUUCGGGAAACCGGAGCUAAUACCGGAUAAUAUUUCGAACCGCAUGGUUCGAUAGUGAAAGAUGGCUUUGCUAUCACUUAUAGAUGGACCUGCGCCGUAUUAGCUAGUUGGUAAGGUAACGGCUUACCAAGGCAACGAUACGUAGCCGACGUGAGAGAGUGAUCGCCCACACUGGAACUGAGACACGGUCCAGACUCCUACGGGAGGCAGCAGUAGGGAAUCGUCCGCAAUGGGCGAAAGCCUGACGGAGCAACGCCGCGUGAGUGAUGAAGGUCUUCGGAUCGUAAAACUCUGUUACGAGGGAAGAACAAACGUGGAAGUAACUGUGCACGUCUUGACGGUACCUAAUCAGAAAGCCACGGCUAACUACGUG
RNAcentral lists this ribosomal RNA (497 nucleotides) under uncultured bacterium. Its description in RNAcentral is "partial 16S ribosomal RNA". It matches the Rfam family "Bacterial small subunit ribosomal RNA", at positions 28 to 507 of the family's 1533-position model. The record is from RNAcentral.